Molecule: long non-coding RNA, 516 nt
Organism: Drosophila yakuba
Lineage: Eukaryota; Metazoa; Arthropoda; Insecta; Diptera; Drosophilidae
Exons: 2
Source: RefSeq, a predicted model, not a curated record
CGAUGGCUUUUCCGUGAGUUUGGGUCGCCCUGUGAAAAACCUGACAUCACCCCGCCAACUCUCAAUGCGACUUUGGGGUCAGCGUUGGCAUUUGGCAAGCUGCAUUCGUGAGCGGCCAACAUCCGUUGGCUGGCAAAACGGGUACAAAACCAAGAAAUGCGUGGCGUCCAAAUGAGGAGCGCGCCUCAUUAAAGCGCGCACGGUCUGCGGAGCCAUUACCAAAAGACGUGCAGGGCUCCCAAUGCAAUUGCAAAAAAACGCGCAAAAGAGCAGGAAAAAUAUUAAAAAAGUGAAACGAUACAAAAAAAAGUACCAAACGACAGCUGCCAAAUACCCUGCAGAAAAAGUUAAAAGCCCCAUCUAUGAAUAAGCUAUUUAAAUUAGAUUUCAAAUCGAUUUCAGAAUAUGUAUAAUGCUCUUUACAGAAACUAACAACUUACAAUCACUUUUGAGUGCAACUAGUUGUUGCAAGAAAUUUGUGUAUUUCACUACAGAGAUACAGAACUGAGAUCUUUA